This 74-nucleotide transfer RNA is filed under the name Methanosarcina mazei. Its description in RNAcentral is "tRNA-Gly". It matches the Rfam family "tRNA". Rfam says of the family: Transfer RNA (tRNA) molecules are approximately 80 nucleotides in length. Their secondary structure includes four short double-helical elements and three loops (D, anti-codon, and T loops). Lineage: Archaea; Methanobacteriati; Methanobacteriota; Methanomicrobia; Methanosarcinales; Methanosarcinaceae. The record is from RNAcentral. RNAcentral also lists the same sequence under 2 other names.
UGCGUUGAUGGUCUAGCGGCUAUGACUUGGGCCUUCCAAGCCCAAAACCCGGGUUCGAAUCCCGGUCGGCGCAU